This 329-nucleotide ribosomal RNA is filed under the name uncultured eukaryote. Its description in RNAcentral is "partial 18S ribosomal RNA". It matches the Rfam family "Eukaryotic small subunit ribosomal RNA", at positions 1470 to 1796 of the family's 1831-position model. The record is from RNAcentral.
CCCUUAGAUGUUCUGGGCUGCACGCGCGCUACACUGAAGCGUUCAACGAGUAUUUCACCUUGCCCGGGAGGGUUGGGUAAUCUUUUUAAAACGCUUCGUGAUGGGGAUAGAAGCUUGCAAUUAUCCUUCUUGAACGAGGAAUACCUUGUAAGCGUGAGUCAUCAUCUCACGCUGAAUACGUCCCAGCCCUUUGUACACACCGCCCGUCGCUCCUACCGAUUGAGUGUUCCGGUGAGGCUUUGGGAGAAUGGCCUCAACAUGAGUUUAUCGUGUUUUGCCGUUUGAACUUAGUCAAACCUUAUCACUUAGAGGAAGGAGAAGUCGUAACA